This is a non-coding RNA of Ictidomys tridecemlineatus (thirteen-lined ground squirrel), 397 nucleotides long. The record is from RefSeq and is a predicted model, not a curated record. NCBI's taxonomy places the organism in Eukaryota, Metazoa, Chordata, Mammalia, Rodentia, Sciuridae.
GGGGUCAGGGCCCUAGGGAAGGUAGCACCUGAGCAGAAAUCCCCUAUGACACGAGGAAACUGACCACAGGAAGACCUGGGGGAACAACAUCCUAGCAAACCAAACUGUAUGCCUCAUGAUGGAGCAUAAACAACAUUAAAAUUUUAUUUGGAUAAAUCUCCUGUUUUACAUAGAAAAGAUGAAGUUUUCCCAUGUCAUAGCAGCAGAGUGGAGGUAAAAGAGCACCGUCCAUGGAAUCAAAUAAACCUGGAUUUAACCACUAGCUAUGUGACCUUCAUCAAGCCGCUCGCCUUCUCUGAGCCUUCGUCUCCCGGCUCUUCUUCAGGUGGGAGUGGAGGUUAAGUGAUAAGGAACUGUUUCUAAGUCAGACUUUCAGCUGGAAGGAAUUCAACUCAUG